Molecule: ribosomal RNA, 554 nt
Filed under: fungal endophyte
Lineage: Eukaryota; Fungi
Description: eukaryotic LSU rRNA
Rfam family: 5.8S ribosomal RNA (bases 178-331)
Source: RNAcentral
CAUUACUGAGUUUACGCUCUACAACCCUUUGUGAACAUACCUAUAACUGUUGCUUCGGCGGGUAGGGUCUCCGCGACCCUCCCGGCCUCCCGCCUCCGGGCGGGUCGGCGCCCGCCGGAGGAUAACCAAACUCUGAUUUAACGACGUUUCUUCUGAGUGGUACAAGCAAAUAAUCAAAACUUUUAACAACGGAUCUCUUGGUUCUGGCAUCGAUGAAGAACGCAGCGAAAUGCGAUAAGUAAUGUGAAUUGCAGAAUUCAGUGAAUCAUCGAAUCUUUGAACGCACAUUGCGCCCGCCAGCAUUCUGGCGGGCAUGCCUGUUCGAGCGUCAUUUCAACCCUCAAGCUCUGCUUGGUGUUGGGGCCCUACAGCUGAUGUAGGCCCUCAAAGGUAGUGGCGGACCCUCCCGGAGCCUCCUUUGCGUAGUAACUUUACGUCUCGCACUGGGAUCCGGAGGGACUCUUGCCGUAAAACCCCCAAUUUUCCAAAGGUUGACCUCGGAUCAGGUAGGAAUACCCGCUGAACUUAAGCAUAUCAAUAAGCGGAGGAGGUCA